AUUGAACGCUGGCGGCAGGCCUAACACAUGCAAGUCGAACGGUAACAGAAAGCAGCUUGCUGCUUUGCUGACGAGUGGCGGACGGGUGAGUAAUGUCUGGGAAACUGCCUGAUGGAGGGGGAUAACUACUGGAAACGGUAGCUAAUACCGCAUAACGUCGCAAGACCAAAGAGGGGGACCUUAGGGCCUCUUGCCAUCGGAUGUGCCCAGAUGGGAUUAGCUAGUAGGUGGGGUAACGGCUCACCUAGGCGACGAUCCCUAGCUGGUCUGAGAGGAUGACCAGCCACACUGGAACUGAGACACGGUCCAGACUCCUACGGGAGGCAGCAGUGGGGAAUAUUGCACAAUGGGCGCAAGCCUGAUGCAGCCAUGCCGCGUGUAUGAAGAAGGCCUUCGGGUUGUAAAGUACUUUCAGCGGGGAGGAAGGGAGUAAAGUUAAUACCUUUGCUCAUUGACGUUACCCGCAGAAGAAGCACCGGCUAACUCCGUGCCAGCAGCCGCGGUAAUACGGANGGUGCAAGCGUUAAUCGGAAUUACUGGGCGUAAAGCGCACGCANGCNGUUUGUUAANNCANAUGUGAAAUCCCCNGGGCUCAACCUGGAACUNGCAUCUGAUACUGGCAAGCUUGANUCUCGNAGAGGGGGGUAGAAUUCCAGNUNUAGCGGUUGAAAUGCAUACAGAUCUGGAGGAGAUGCCAGG
RNAcentral lists this ribosomal RNA (699 nucleotides) under uncultured bacterium. RNAcentral's name for it is "bacterial SSU rRNA". It matches the Rfam family "Bacterial small subunit ribosomal RNA", at positions 28 to 713 of the family's 1533-position model. The record is from RNAcentral.